RNAcentral lists this ribosomal RNA (185 nucleotides) under uncultured bacterium. RNAcentral describes it as "partial 16S ribosomal RNA". It matches the Rfam family "Bacterial small subunit ribosomal RNA", at positions 1317 to 1500 of the family's 1533-position model. The record is from RNAcentral.
UACAUGAAGCCGGAAUCGCUAGUAAUCGCGGAUCAGAAUGCCGCGGUGAAUACGUUCCCGGGUCUUGUACACACCGCCCGUCACACCAUGGGGAGUUGGAAAUGCCCGAAGUCAGUGGCCCAACCGGAAGGGGGGAGCUGCCGAAGGCAGGUUCGAUGACUGGGGUGAAGUCGUAACAAGGUAUC